Molecule: ribosomal RNA, 253 nt
Filed under: uncultured bacterium
Lineage: Bacteria
Description: partial 16S ribosomal RNA
Rfam family: Bacterial small subunit ribosomal RNA
Source: RNAcentral
UACGGAGGAUGCAAGCGUUAUCCGGAUUUAUUGGGCGUAAAGCGUCCGCAGGUGGUUGUUCAAGUCUGCUGUUAAAGCGCGAGGCUUAACCUUGUACAGGCAGUGGAAACUGAGCGACUAGAGUAUGGUAGGGGUAGCGGGAAUUCCCAGUGUAGCGGUGAAAUGCGCAGAUAUCAGGAAGAACACCCGUGGCUAAGGCGGCUCUCUAGUACGGUACUGACGCUGAGACGCGAAAGCGUGGGGAGCGAAUGGG